AAUUAUCGGAGUGAUUACAAAAGAAAAUGAUUAAAUAGAAUUACAAUUUAAAAUGUAUAAAAUAUUUAUAAGUUUUAAAAUACAUGUUAACUUAAGUGACAAUCCUCAAUAGAGAAACUAAAGACGGGAUAUACUUAUAGAAGAAGGCCGAGCCCACCGGCACUUAGCACCAUCCACAACAGAACAAAAUUACAACCUGAAAAACAACAAGGAAUAAAACCCUGAGUACGCAAUUACUCAGCAAGACUUACCCGACUAAAGAAAAGACUCUCAAGGGUAUGCUGGUUUGUUGGGAAUCAAGGUAAAGCUCAUCAAAUUUCAAAGACUCGUUUUUGCAGAAAAGCUUACUAGUAGUGGAUCCUUAUGCCAAACUUUUACUUCACAAAUUAAGUACUUUUCCUGAAUUUAGAUUUACCUAAUCUAGAGCAUUCACUUAUCCUACACUAAAUUCAUUUUAGCAUCUUUAGUUUCACUUGUUAUCUAUGAUGAGGGUCGAAGAUCCAGUCUUCAUAUCCGAGAAGUUCGGCGAUUCGAAUCGAUUAAUACCCAGCUGGGGAUCUCCAACCACACGACAUAUGUAGCACUUAACCCUUGCAUAUGUCAACUCGCCACCAGGUUUCUCAAGACCAGAACGGGUCCCCGCCAACCGAGAGCUCAGUACCCCACCAUCCAGCCUCUUGCCAGGUGGAUACACGAUACUCUCGCCAUCUCUCCACUCCCAUUGCGGGCCGGUCUUUCUGGUAUUGGUCCAGUCGAGGCUAAGCUUACCCAUGACGAGGCAUGUGGCCAGUUAAAGGGUCCUAGAUCAGCAGGCCAACAAUCGGAACGGUCCUUAAGCGACACAGACGGGCGACCUUUCCUGCUCAAAGUUUGGUCUCAUAUUAAGUUAUUUCUGAAAACCUGGUACCUGCCAGAGGUACCCUACUGAAAUGAUGAAGUCAUCAAGGCCUUUGAUACCUUCAUCACUCUAGCCUCUUUUCUUUAUAAAAACAUGAUUCAUAGAUCAAAACAUUUUGUUCUUAGUCUAUGAGCAUACUAAGCACAUCUAGCUUUUUAAAACAGGUAUCAAGGAUGGUAAUCAAUAUUUCAAGAAAGUUAUGCAACAAAGGUUUAAUCAUUCAACUCCUACCACCUAAUGCAUCAUAUAAGUGAUAAAAGUUUAAAAACAGUAAGGAGGUGGCAAAUGCACCGGGGCUUGCCUGAGAUAACACUAAGUUAGUGUUGUUAGAUGACAUCCGAUUAGGGAGCAUCUCUCGUCCUGGUACUUGACCAGAUCAUCCAAGCUUCAGGUUCGUUCACCAGCAUCAUUUUGGGAUCAACUCGGCUCUUGUCGUCCACAUCACGUGAUCAAUUAGCGAAUCUGAAUGAUAUGCAUAAUGCACAUGUAUGAACAUAGGAAGGAAUAAUAAGGCUAAACGAUGUCACAAGGAAGAAAAUUCAAUAUUAAAGGCAAGACCUCACCAAUAUACAUAAUCAAACAUGAGAGAAAAUCUACACAAUCAUGAUCCUCGAGUUAAUCAGACCUAAUUCAAACAUUAGGCAACGUAACUAAACACAAGCCUUAAGCUAAAGCAUAACAUCGAUAGGUUACUACUCGUAGACUUAUCAAUUUCGGAUACUUAACUUAGGUUUAUGAAUAGAAGUAUUUCAACUAGUCCUUAGAACUACCAAUCUAACCUAUUAGGCAUAACACAUCAACCAAACAAAUUAUUACACCAUUCGAUCAAGCAACUAAUCAUUAUCAAGAUCAUAGACAUUUGUAAGACUAAGCAAUAAAGGGUAACAUCACGGAUGGACGAGAGAAGUGCUAAAUUUUACUACUUGCAUUACUAUUUCAUUAUGCACAUAAAAGGCCUAAAUAGUCACUAACUCAAAUACAUUCACCAAGGCAUUUACUUCCUUCUCAAAAAUGCUAAAGUCUAAAACAAGCAUUAAGAAAGAAAAUAAACAACCAUUUGCCACUACAAGACUUCAUUAAUCAAGACAAGAACUAACCAAAUAUAGGUAUCCUCACAAAAGAAAUACAAGUAAUCAUUUCAUACUUGCUGAAUUUGGACAGCAGAACAGCAACUACUUGUUUAGUUCAUAACUCACACGAUAUUCAUCCAAAAAUGAUAAACUAUGACUUUCUGGAAAGCUUAGAAAGUCCUCUAUAACUCUUAUAUUAUCAUCACAACAUGAUCCGACAGCUUGAAAGGUCAAACAAUGCUAAACUUUAAUUCUGUCCAGAUUUGGACAGAAUUCGGCUCUUCACUUCAAAAAUCCAUAACUGGAGUUUCAGAAAUCCAAAUCAGGUGAUCCUAGACUUUUUAGAAAUCUAAUAGAAUUGUCUAUAAUUCAUUUAUAAUCAUCUCAAGGUGAUUCAAUGUGUAUCGAAGUCAGUUAAUACAAACAAACAUUGCUGUCCAGAUUUGGACAGAUUCAGACUCUAUAGUUCAAACAACUGUAACUUGGUCUCUAGACCACCAAAAAGGGUGCUCCAAAAUUUGUUGGAAAGCUUAAGCAAAGUACUACAAUUCUCCUAUAAUUACUAAGAGUUGAUUCUCAGUUUAACUUAGGCAAACAAGGUCAUUUUCGAAAUCUGUACAAAAUCUGGACAGAUUCUGAAACUGGACUUGGAAAAAUCAUAACUUCUAAACUACAAGACCUAUAGUCAUGAAAUUUUAGCACAAGCAAGAUAAAGGAGUUAUCUAUAACUUUUAUAUAUAACACUAUCACAGAAAACAUGAUUUACUUUACUAAACUAGCUGUAUAAUUAAAACUGGACAUGCAGUCCCAAACAACAAGCAUUCCAUUCAGCUCCUAUAAUUAUCAUGUGUUGUUCAAACAACAAGUGUUAACAUGUUCUUUGUAUAAGUAACUUAACCAUAAACAAAACUCUAUCCUUUAUGAUUUAUUAACACAAUCAUAUCAAUGCAUAUAUAUUCACCAAGCAUAUUUCAUACAAUAUAUCAUCACACCUAUCACUAGACAAGAGAAUCAUCGAUCAUAUCCUAAUCAAUCCACCAUACACGCUAACUAGUGAGGAUAGCCUAAGAGCUCACCAUGACUAAAGUUGACUCGAUCGGCACUAAACGACCACGACAGCCGAUUCAAUCCUUUCACCCAGCAGCUAGUAAGCGACGGACGUGCUAUGUUUCUUCUUCACCCAGAUUCCACGGAUUUCGCUCCUCAACACACAUAGGCACAUAAACACAAUCUACAUUAGCAAAUAGACGUCGAUCGAUGAAAUGACAAAGCAAGAAUGAAAUCUCACCGAGGGUCGAUGGUGUCGUGGAUGGGCUGCACAAAAUACCAAACAUCCCACGACGCUAAUAGGGUUGUCCAUGACACGGUACUCCACUUGGACAUUUUAUCAAACACCAUACGGGUGCGGAUGGUGCGGGAUAUGGUGCGGGAUUACCGGAGGAUGUCCGGCAGCGAGGGGCUGCUACAGAUAAGUGCGCAACCGUGGGAAAAACAGAGAGGCGCUGACCUGCUGCAGGAAAGGAGGCGGUCUGCAGGCACGACCAAGUUGAAACCGAGCAAAGGAUGGGCGAGCUCGGACUGACGACGAACUCCAUGACAGGGGGAUAGGAACGGCGAGAAGGGAGGGCGCUGGACAGAGGGCAGGGGCGAGCUCCAGAGAGGGGCAUCGGCCAUGGGAGGGAGCACGACGUGUGCUGCAGGAAGGGGAGAGAGCUCGGCUGGGCACCAUAGCAAGAGGAGGAUGGGGAGGGCUGGAGUGCGGACCUGGGAGGGGCGAGCACCAGGGAGCUGUGGCCGGUGGUGGAGGCUGGCGUGGGGAGGGAGGAAGAAAGCUCCCUGCUGGAGAACACACAUCGUGAGGGAGAUUUGAGAUGGGGAUAAGGGAGAGAGAGAGAGUUAGG
RNAcentral lists this long non-coding RNA (3869 nucleotides) under Zea mays. RNAcentral describes it as "long non-coding RNA (ZMAY_LNC002639)". Lineage: Eukaryota; Viridiplantae; Streptophyta; Magnoliopsida; Poales; Poaceae. The record is from RNAcentral.